Molecule: ribosomal RNA, 353 nt
Filed under: Ectopseudomonas alcaliphila
Lineage: Bacteria; Pseudomonadati; Pseudomonadota; Gammaproteobacteria; Pseudomonadales; Pseudomonadaceae
Also listed under: 1 other name
Description: bacterial SSU rRNA
Rfam family: Bacterial small subunit ribosomal RNA
Source: RNAcentral
GAACUGAAGAGUUUGAUCAUGGCUCAGAUUGAACGCUGGCGGCAGGCCUAACACAUGCAAGUCGAGCGGAUGAAGGGAGCUUGCUCCCUGAUUUAGCGGCGGACGGGUGAGUAAUGCCUAGGAAUCUGCCUGGUAGUGGGGGAUAACGUUCCGAAAGGAACGCUAAUACCGCAUACGUCCUACGGGAGAAAGCAGGGGACCUUCGGGCCUUGCGCUAUCAGAUGAGCCUAGGUCGGAUUAGCUAGUUGGUGAGGUAAUGGCUCACCAAGGCGACGAUCCGUAACUGGUCUGAGAGGAUGAUCAGUCACACUGGAACUGAGACACGGUCCAGACUCCUACGGGAGGCAGCAGUG